This 75-nucleotide transfer RNA is filed under the name Campylobacterota bacterium. RNAcentral's name for it is "tRNA-Val". It matches the Rfam family "tRNA". From Rfam's summary of the family: Transfer RNA (tRNA) molecules are approximately 80 nucleotides in length. Their secondary structure includes four short double-helical elements and three loops (D, anti-codon, and T loops). The record is from RNAcentral. RNAcentral also lists the same sequence under 1 other name. Lineage: Bacteria; Pseudomonadati; Campylobacterota.
GACCGCGUAACUCAGUGGUAGAGUGCCACCUUGACAUGGUGGUGGUCACUGGUUCAAAUCCAGUCGUGGUCACCA